This is a long non-coding RNA of Brachypodium distachyon (stiff brome), 288 nucleotides long. RefSeq lists it as uncharacterized. NCBI's taxonomy places the organism in Eukaryota, Viridiplantae, Streptophyta, Magnoliopsida, Poales, Poaceae. The transcript has 3 exons. The record is from RefSeq and is a predicted model, not a curated record.
GUUCAACCACGCGAAGUAUGUAUACGAUGGCAUCAAGGCCGCGGUCAACAAGGUGAAAUGUGCGAUGCCAUCGAACCCUACUAGCAUCGAGCUCGAGAGCUGCCUCAUCGUGCUGCAGAUUGCGCUUGUCGAGCAUCGCCGGUUCGGUCUUCCUGGAUCUCUUCAACAGCAGCAGCCACGUAUAGCAGAUUACAUAGAAGGCAACCUAAAAGAUUUGCUCCGAGCUUACCUCCCCCACAACAUAGAAGUUGGCCAGUACGACGAGAUCGUGGACGAUGACUCCGACCC